CCACAGUGAGGGGAACAGCAAGCUAUUAUCCGGCCCAGUGUUAUCUGCCAAUCAGGACCUAGAGGAUCGGGGUUGUUUCACACACACACAAGGACCCUUUCUCUCUCCUCUACACACACACACACAAGCCUGGGAUUCCAACACACAGCCGCGCUUUCUUACAGUGAAUCAGCUGCCAAGCUGGGCUGGAGCGGAGCUGUGGAAACAACACCCAGACAGACACCUGAAGAGUCUCCCACAUCCUGACGGGCAUACACACGUGCACAUGUACUCGACGGAACCACACACGCGGUAGAACCACACACGCGGCAGAGCUGGUGACAAGACAUGCCUAGAGGAAGUGUUGAAACUGUAUGUUAGUCAUGAGACACCAUUAGACAGUUUGGGUGAUGAAUGAACCUACAUCAGGUGUGAAAGACUGCCCUGCACAGCCAUGCCCUGCGCUCACAAAUCACCAGGACAGAGGGCCAGCCAGUUGACGGGGGAGGGAGAGCACCUCGUCUGUCUCUGUCUCUCUGAUGUCGGACGCUUGGGGUCAAAAGGUGACAAGACCUUUUUUGCCCUACAACGAGGAGGUCAGCUCUCCUGACCGCAGCCAACCGCCCAUACAACACAGCCAACAGCCUGUGAAGAGUCCCAACCCUGAGUCAUAAUGACUGGUGGUUAACCAACAGGCGAUGAAUACUAUAAUCCUAACGCCCUUUCACAUUUAGUCCUGCUGAGGGUUCCCUGACCCACCAGAGCAGAGAGCUGGAGCCCAGAGACACUGCAGCUGAAGGAGCUCUAGGCUGCAGCCCAGAGAGCACACAUCUACAGGCUAUAAAACAGCAAUGAAACACCAGGAGGAGAAACAUAGUUGGAAUUCACAGACACUCACUUCUUCUCCUCUAUCUCCCACUCUUCUUCCUAUCCUUUCUUUCCCUCUCUCAGCCUCAUCUUCCUGUCUUGUUUUCUCUCUCCUCUCUCCUCUCUCUCUCCUCUCUCUCUCCUCUCUCCACAGGGCUGCACAUAAACAGUUGGUCUUCUGGUUGAUGUGACUUUUUGUGACCCCUGACAUUUGCCCUGUUUACAGAUGAGAUGCCCUCUGUCCCUGCACACCCACAUGCAGAUCUGCAGUGUUCAUUAUGACAGUCCGACUAUAUUCUCCUAAAACCAGAUCGCCGCUUACAUCACUCUUUCAUAUAGCGUUGUGCCGGUUCCAGCUUGCCUUGAUUAGGGCUUAACAUUCUUAGAUGAACUUAUAAAAUAAGUCUAUUUAAAACACAUAUGUACUUAGUAUUUUGAGUUCAGAUUUUCUUUUAAAAUCUGUGUGAUAAGAAUGUGACAUUAUUUUUCCAUGGCGCUGAAAUAUAAUAGGAUCGCGUGCAGGAGAUUUCUGUCAAAA
This is a long non-coding RNA of Esox lucius (northern pike), 1384 nucleotides long. NCBI's taxonomy places the organism in Eukaryota, Metazoa, Chordata, Actinopteri, Esociformes, Esocidae. The record is from Ensembl.